CCACGCAGCCUCAGAGUUUGCUGCAGAUGAAACGGGUCUUUUACAGAAAGUGUUCGCUGCCAAAUAUUGUGGGUGCGAUUGAAGGCACUUUGGUGCCAAUAGUGGGACCAUCAGAGAACGAAGAGGUCAUCGUUUGCCGAAAAGGGUUUCAUGCUCUUAAUUGUCAGGCGGUCUCCUUACCUGAUUUGAAAUUCCUGGAUGUGGUUGCUCGUUAGCCGGGUUCAACACAUGAUGCAGCGAUAUUUGAGAAUUAUCGGUUGAAGAAUUACCUUGAACACCAUGAAGGGAUGAUCCUGCUUAAGGACAGUGGGUAUGCCCUCAAGAGGUACCUAUUGACACCCAUCGCAGUUCCUUGCAAUAAGCAAGAAAAGCAAUACAACAGACGUCAGCGGCAAGGUCGUUUGUGCAUUGAGCGGGCAUUCGGUUUACUGAAAGUGAAGUCUAGAUUCAGAUGUCUUUACAAGACUGGUGGCAUUCUACCAUUUACACCACAAAAAUGUGCCAGAAUGUUCAUGGCCUGUUGUCUGUUGCACAACCCGUGCAUGAGAAACGAACUACCAAAACCACCAGCAAUUGAUGAAGAAGAGGACCAUGAUCUGGUAGUGGCUGCGCCUGACAACAACUUUGGUGGUGUGGCAGCCCGAAAUCAAUUUGUUCAAAUACGUUGAUUGAUUGGACAAUGGUUCAUAUGUGAGAGAUAUCUAGGCAUAGGUCACUUACAGCUUGCUGUAUGGCCUGGAAAUCUCCCACAUAUGAACCAUGUCUCAUUUAUAAAUAUUUGUCAUUUGUGUGUGUGUUAUUGUGUUGAUUGAAUUGGACACUGGUUCAUAUGUGAGAGUAAUCAAGGCAUAGGUCACUUACAGCUUGCUGUAUGGCCUGGAUAUCUUUCACAUAUUGACCAUGUCUCAUAUAAUAUAGUUGUUAUUUUGUACAUAUUUUUCUGAAGCCACAUAUAAUGUGUACUAUAAUUUUAGACUGUGGUUCGUAUGUGAGAGAUAUCCAGGCAUAGGUCACUUACAGCUUGCUGUAUGGCCUGGAUAUCUCCCACAUAUGAACCAUGCCUCAUUUAUAAAUAUUUGUUGUUUUUUUAACAUGAUAUUCUUUCUUAUUAGCCACAUAUAAUGUUAACAUUGAUUUUAGACUGGGUUCAAAUGAGAAAGAUAUCUAGGCAUAGGUCACUUACAGCUUGCUGUACGGCUUGGAUAUCUCUCACAUAUUGACCAAAGUAUCGUAUGGGCUUACAUUUCAGUGGCUAGUUGUCAUUUUGUUUAUUAUUGUUACAGUUGUCAUUGUUAUAUAAUAAGUCAGUCUGUAUUUUUUUGGUCCUGUGAUGUAAAUGUCAGAGAUACCAUGGUUAGAAAUCUUGUUGGCCUGGAACCUCCAUGUCAGAGAUACCAUGGUUAGAAAUCUUGUUGGCCUGGAACCUCCAUGUCAGAGAUACCAUGGUUAGAAAUCUUGUUGGCCUGGAACCUCCAUGACAGAGAUACCAUGGUUAGAAAUCUUGUUGGCCUGGAACCUCCA
Molecule: long non-coding RNA, 1521 nt
Organism: Dreissena polymorpha
Lineage: Eukaryota; Metazoa; Mollusca; Bivalvia; Myida; Dreissenidae
Exons: 4
Source: RefSeq, a predicted model, not a curated record